UAGGGAAUCUUCGGCAAUGGGGGCAACCCUGACCGAGCAACGCCGCGUGAGUGAAGAAGGUUUUCGGAUCGUAAAGCUCUGUUGUAAGUCAAGAACGGGUGUGAGAGUGGAAAGUUCACACUGUGACGGUAGCUUACCAGAAAGGGACGGCUAACUACGUGCCAGCAGCCGCGGUAAUACGUAGGUCCCGAGCGUUGUCCGGAUUUAUUGGGCGUAAAGCGAGCGCAGGCGGUUUGAUAAGUCUGAAGUUAAAGGCUGUGGCUCAACCAUAGUUCGCUUUGGAAACUGUCAAACUUGAGUGCAGAAGGGGAGAGUGGAAUUCCAUGUGUAGCGGUGAAAUGCGUAGAUAUAUGGAGGAACACCGGUGGCGAAAGCGGCUCUCUGGUCUGUAACUGACGCUGAGGCUCGAAAGCGUGGGGAGCGAACAGGAUUAGAUACCCUGGUAGUCCACGCCGUAAACGAUGAGUGCUAGGUGUUGGAUCCUUUCCGGGGAUU
RNAcentral lists this ribosomal RNA (495 nucleotides) under uncultured bacterium. RNAcentral's name for it is "partial 16S ribosomal RNA". It matches the Rfam family "Bacterial small subunit ribosomal RNA", at positions 355 to 840 of the family's 1533-position model. The record is from RNAcentral.